CUGCGUGAGCGGACGAAAACAACAACACCUAAAAUGUGGAAUAUAGCAUAUAGUCGACAAGAGAAAUCUACGAAAAACAAACAAAACUUUCAACAACGGAUCUCUUGGUCUCGCAUCGAUGAAGAGCGCAGCGAAAUGCGAUACCUAGUGUGAAUUGCAGCCAUCGUGAAUCAUCGAGUUCUUGAACGCACAUUGCGCCCCUCGGCAUUCCGGGGGGCAUGCCUGUUUGAGCGUCGUUUCCAUCUUGCGCGUGCGCAGAGUUGGGGGAGCGGAGCGGACGACGUGUAAAGAGCGUCGGAGCUGCGACUCGCCUGAAAGGGAGCGAAGCUGGCCGAGCGAACUAGACUUUUUUUCAGGGACGCUUGGCGGCCGAGAGCGAGUGUUGCGAGACAACAAAAAGCUCGACCUCAAAUCAGGUAGGAAUACCCGCUGAACUUAAGCAUAUCA
Molecule: ribosomal RNA, 447 nt
Filed under: Pichia inconspicua
Lineage: Eukaryota; Fungi; Ascomycota; Pichiomycetes; Pichiales; Pichiaceae
Description: eukaryotic LSU rRNA
Rfam family: 5.8S ribosomal RNA (bases 85-236)
Source: RNAcentral